AGCAGCCGCGGUAAUUCCAGCUCCAAUAGCGUAUAUUAAAGUUGUUGCAGUUAAAAAGCUCGUAGUUGAAUUUCGGGGUUAGUAGAUUGGUCGUGCCACGGGUAUGUACUGGUCUUACUGAUUCCUCCUUCCUGAUGAACCGUAAUGCCAUUAAUUUGGUGUUGCGGGGAGACUGGACUGUUACUUUGAAAAAAUUAGAGUGUUUAAAGCAGGCUUACGCUUGAAUACAUUAGCAUGGAAUAAUGAAAUAGGACGUUCGAUCCUAUUUUGUUGGUUUCUAGGAUUGACGUAAUGAUUAAUAGGGAUAGUUGGGGGCAUUAGUAUUCAAUUGUCAGAGGUGAAAUUCUUGGAUUUAUUGAAGACUAACUACUGCGAAAGCAUUUGCCAAGGAUGUUUUCAUUAAUCAAGAACGAAAGUUAGGGGAUCGAAGACGAUCAGAUACUGUCGUAGUCUUAACCAUAAACUAUGCCGACUAGGGAUCGGAUGAUGUUAAUUUUUAAUGACUCAUUCGGCGCCUUAC
Molecule: ribosomal RNA, 520 nt
Filed under: uncultured Glomus
Lineage: Eukaryota; Fungi; Glomeromycota; Glomeromycetes; Glomerales; Glomeraceae
Description: SSU rRNA
Rfam family: Eukaryotic small subunit ribosomal RNA
Source: RNAcentral